AAAAAAAAAAAAAAAAAGAAAAACAUUUUGGAUUUUCGAUUGUGGCUUCAUCUAAGCAAUUCACAUAUUUUUGAGAUCCAAGAAGGCCUGGGAUGAUUGUAAAAUUCGACCUGGUCAAGGGGGUACAGUACUUCAAUCAUUCUACUUCGUGAACUCAUACAGUCAACAUCAAAAAUAAAACAAAAAGUUUACUUCUGAAAAUCAAAAAAGAGAAAAACAAAAGUGAAAAUCUGUUGACUGUUCAAUUGAUCCUGCAAUCCGGAAAGCAAUUGGUUAUGAAGCUCCCGAUCUAAGCUAGCAUAUACGAGCUUAAGACAUAGCUACAGAGUCUUCUCAAUAUUCAGACGGGAACAUUGGAGAUUUCUGCUUCUGAUGUAACGUUGGCCGAUUCAGAAGUUGCUGGUCUAGGCAACAACAAACAAAUUAAGCCGAUUGUGUCUUGCUAUGAAGGCAACAAUUUUGUGUGCUUGAUACGAUUUUCUCUUCAGGCCGAGGAUAUCGCGCUUCCAUUAGUCGAUAAUACGGUGUCAGACUCAAAUAUUGGAGUUGUGUCGCUCGAAGGAAGUGAAUCUUCCGUCAUUGAGCUAUCUUCAGGAGCUAGUAGCGAAAGAAAAGGCCAAGGACAUGAAAAACCCAUUGAGACCAAACGUGAGGAGAGCCCCUCGUAUGGAUGUAUGGAGGAGGCAUACGGUAUGGGCGAUGCGAUAUUAUAUCCAGACCACGCUCAGUUAAAUCUGAAAUGAAAAUGGAACCGGAUGUUACAAAUGGUCAGCAGCCCCCCUACAUAAACAUACUGCCAGAGAAGAGGCCGUUUCUUGUGGUCUUUUCUUCCCCGGAAUGUGUUCUUUGGGACAUUUUUGGAUUUCACAAACGUUCGCUGCUUAGUCACUCCGGUGACUGAAUACAAUGGCCGGCUUUACAUCGCAGCGGCCAACGAAGACCCCAGGGAAUGGGUGGCGCACAACGUAUGUUCCAUGGGGCUCUAUGAGGGCGUUGGCUUUAUAAACUUCCUGCACCUGACAGCGGCCAGAGUUGGCCAAACGUCGAGACUUGUUUCCUGCGAAUUUUUACGCUCCUGGAACUGUUGAAACGGAGAAGUGAGCUGUGGUGAGCCGGGAAAAUGUACCCCCUUCAGUCACAGAUAUUUGGCCCAAUGGACGGGUUGGGAUCUGGAUGGAUGCUGAGAGUGUGGAUAUCAUCAAGGGGAGAUGCAACCGCCAUAAACUGUUUU
Drosophila willistoni is the source of this 1231-nucleotide long non-coding RNA. RefSeq lists it as uncharacterized. NCBI's taxonomy places the organism in Eukaryota, Metazoa, Arthropoda, Insecta, Diptera, Drosophilidae. The record is from RefSeq and is a predicted model, not a curated record. The transcript is spliced from 3 exons.